Molecule: long non-coding RNA, 1935 nt
Filed under: Heterocephalus glaber (naked mole-rat)
Lineage: Eukaryota; Metazoa; Chordata; Mammalia; Rodentia; Bathyergidae
Description: lncRNA (ENSHGLG00100042039.1)
Source: RNAcentral
GUGAGCUACAUCCCUAACCCUUUUUUAAUUUUGAGACAGGGUCUCACUAAAUUGCCCAGGAUAGGUUAGAGGUUUUGAUCUCCUGCCUCAGCCUCCUGAGUGCUGAGAUUACAGGUGUGCAACACCACACCUGGCUUAAUUUUUUUUUGUUUUUUGACACAAAGUCUCCAUAUGUGGACCACACUAGCCAUGAGCUCACAGUGUAGCCCAGGCUGGCCUUGAGCUCAUGAUCUUCCUGUCUCAGGCUCCAGAGAGUACUGGAGUUAUGGUGUGAGUCACCAUAACAGGCUUCAAUUACUACAAUUUUUAUUUACUAGACCACAGCAGAGUUUUGGGGAGAGAGCAAAUUAGCAAAGAGUGAAAACAAAAUGAAAAGAAAAAUAUGCACCUUAAAUCAGGCAUUUGGAAACUUUUUGAUUGUGAUUCAAAAGUAGAUAUAAACAUGUAGGCCUGGCAUGGUGGUACUCAUUUGUAAGCCCAGCACUCUGGUAAGCUGAGGCAGGAGGAUUGCAAGUUUGAACCCAGCCUGAGCUAUUUAGCAAGAUCCUGUCUCAAGAAAGAAAAAAAGAAAAAAGACUGGGGGUGUAGCUUAGUGUGAAGGCCCUGAGUUCAAUCUGCAGUACUAAAAAAAAGAAAAUCUCAUCCAAAAAUACAUACCUGUGACUACGUGCACACAUUUCUAAGACAAAGGUUUCAUGAAGUAUUAUUUUAUGCAAUGAAUGCUAAUAUUUUCAACCUUGUUUUCUCUUUAAUGUGGAUCAGGACUUAUCACAUUGACUCCGUUAUUCACUACAGUACUGGGUCACAACAUGCCUUUAAGAACAUUGAAAAAGAAGUACUAUUCCCCACUGUCUUUGUACCUCUCAUUUUGAAUAGUCCUAGCUGGUCACCUUAAGCUGGCCAUGUUUACAUGUCCCAGAAUGCAACAGGACAGAUGAGCCUCCCAGGGUGCUGUGGGGGAGGUGAGGGAAGGGUUGGCAGAAGCCAGAUUGGGUUCCUGUUCAGUCAGUAAAAUUUCCUAAUAUUAUUAGAGGAUAUAAAUAAUUUCUUCUUUGUUCAGCAUGAGCUACACGUUGAACUUAAACAAGGCAUACUGCCUGCAAACUAACAUUUUUUCAUUUGAAAGAACAAAAUCAUGAACUAAAAUAAAAAGAAAAAUAAUGUAUCUUGAUUGUGACAGUUAUUAAUCAACUUUUUUUUUUAAGAAAGGGUCUCUGGUGGGGUGUUUAGCUCAGCGGUAGAACCACUGAGCUAAAUCCCCGGCCCUCUAAUAGCCUUUUUAAUAUUUUUCCCUGAAUUAAAGUUAUUUCCCCAGAACUCCAGCCUCCUCUUUGCAGAGAUCUAGCAAUUUUAACCACAUCUAAUUUUGAAAGUGAAUUUUCUGGGCCAGGGAUUUAGCUCAGUGGUUUCGCCGCCUGCUGCACAAGCGCAAGGACCCGAAUUCGAUCCUCAGUACAAAAAAAAAGUGGAUUUUUCUCUAAAAGCAGGCAGGGCUAAAUUCAACAGGUUAAGUCACCCCUGGAAGAACCAAGGCAAAUUCUCCCCUACCUGCCCUUCUAGAGAAACAAAAGGAAAUAUGGAUCUGCAUUCUCUACCCCCUGCCCGAGUAAACUGGACUUGGCCCAAUAGUUAAGCAAUUAAUUGGGAAAGUUUAUUUAAGCAGUUAAUUAUUUUUUAAAAUGGUGAAUAGGGCCAGAUGAGGUGGCACAUGCUUGCAAUCCCAGUACUCGGGAGGCUGAGGCAGAAGGAUUGCAUUGAGUUCAAGGCCAGCCUGGACUGCAUAGAGACCCUGUCUCAAAAAAAAAAAAAAAAAAAAACCACUCAAAAAAACAAAUAAAUAAAAGUCAAUAGAUACCCUAAUAAAAGUUGGAAACUAUAAGGAUCGUCCAGUUACCAAUCUUUUUUUGUUUGUUUUGUUUUGAUUUUUGAGACAGG